CCUACGGGUGGCUGCAGUGGGGAAUAUUGGACAAUGGGGGGAACCCUGAUCCAGCCAUGCCGCGUGUGUGAAGAAGGCCCUCGGGUUGUAAAGCACUUUCAGUGAGGAAGAACGCCUGGUGGUUAAUACCCAUCAGGAAAGACAUCACUCACAGAAGAAGCACCGGCUAACUCCGUGCCAGCAGCCGCGGUAAUACGGAGGGUGCGAGCGUUAAUCGGAAUUACUGGGCGUAAAGCGCGCGUAGGUGGCUUGAUAAGCCGGUUGUGAAAGCCCCGGGCUCAACCUGGGAACGGCAUCCGGAACUGUCAAGCUAGAGUGCAGGAGAGGAAGGUAGAAUUCCCGGUGUAGCGGUGAAAUGCGUAGAGAUCGGGAGGAAUAGCAGUGGCGAAGGCGGCCUUCUGGACUGACACUGACACUGAGGUGCGAAAGCGUGGGUAGCAAACAGGAUUAGAUACCCCAGUAGUC
This 465-nucleotide ribosomal RNA is filed under the name Vreelandella stevensii. RNAcentral describes it as "partial 16S ribosomal RNA". It matches the Rfam family "Bacterial small subunit ribosomal RNA", at positions 338 to 795 of the family's 1533-position model. The record is from RNAcentral. Lineage: Bacteria; Pseudomonadati; Pseudomonadota; Gammaproteobacteria; Oceanospirillales; Halomonadaceae.